RNAcentral lists this ribosomal RNA (243 nucleotides) under uncultured bacterium. RNAcentral describes it as "partial 16S ribosomal RNA". It matches the Rfam family "Bacterial small subunit ribosomal RNA", at positions 111 to 354 of the family's 1533-position model. The record is from RNAcentral.
UAACGCGUGGAUAACCUGCCGUAUGCAGGGGGAUACCAACUGGAAACAGUUGCUAAUACCGCAUAAGCGCACAGCACCGCAUGGUGCAGUGUGAAAAGAUUUAUCGGCAUACGAUGGAUCCGCGUCCGAUUAGCCAGUUGGCGGGGUAGAAGCCCACCAAAGCGACGAUCGGUAGCCGGCCUGAGAGGGCGGACGGCCACAUUGGGACUGAGACACGGCCCAAACUCCUACGGAAGGCAGCAG